This 253-nucleotide ribosomal RNA is filed under the name uncultured bacterium. RNAcentral's name for it is "partial 16S ribosomal RNA". It matches the Rfam family "Bacterial small subunit ribosomal RNA", at positions 524 to 776 of the family's 1533-position model. The record is from RNAcentral.
UACGUAGGGUGCGAGCGUUGUCCGGAAUUAUUGGGCGUAAAGAGCUUGUAGGCGGUUUGUCGCGUCUGCUGUGAAAAUCCGGGGCUCAACCCCGGACUUGCAGUGGGUACGGGCAGACUAGAGUGUGGUAGGGGAGACUGGAAUUCCUGGUGUAGCGGUGAAAUGCGUAGAUAUCUGGAGGAACACCGGUGGCGAAGGCGGCAUCCUGGACCGACACUGACGCUGAGGAGCGAAAGCCAGGGGAGCAAACGGG